GAGUAAGGUGUGCUAUACCUGACAUGAUAUAUUUUGUGAACUUUAUUGGUGAAAGCUCAUCAUAUACUCAUAUUGGUGAGACAUCCUUGAGUUUUUAUUGUUGACGCAUCUUAUGUGGCUCAAUAUCACUUACAUGAUAACCUUCUUGUACGUUUGAGUGAUUUGGGACAUCUUUUUUGGGUCUGAAUUUCACCAUUGUGAGGUUGGUCUCUCGGAGCAAGCUAGCCAACACGAUUUGGAGCAAUAGCUGAAGAGGCAGGGAAUAGCUGAAGAGGCAGGGAGUGAAGGCUAGUAAACAGUUCCUUGGUCGACGUAGUAAUCUGAUUUUUUUUUGUUUUUUUUUUUAGUUUAACUGUUAUUUAACUUUAUUCUCAUUCUAUGGAUUUUUUUUACAUAUCAACUCCAGAUUUGUUUGUAGAAUAUUUGCAUACAAAUUGACAUUGGAAAUGGCAAAGAAUAAAUUGAAAAACAUGAUUUUUCA
Long non-coding RNA from Spinacia oleracea (spinach), 481 nucleotides. RefSeq lists it as uncharacterized. The record is from RefSeq and is a predicted model, not a curated record. The transcript is spliced from 2 exons. NCBI's taxonomy places the organism in Eukaryota, Viridiplantae, Streptophyta, Magnoliopsida, Caryophyllales, Amaranthaceae.